Long non-coding RNA from Penaeus indicus, 764 nucleotides. RefSeq lists it as uncharacterized. The transcript has 2 exons. The record is from RefSeq and is a predicted model, not a curated record. NCBI's taxonomy places the organism in Eukaryota, Metazoa, Arthropoda, Malacostraca, Decapoda, Penaeidae.
CGUUCCUCUACACGCGGUCUACGAGGGUGAAUGGCCUACAGCUCCACUACAUCAACAACUCCUUUCGACGCGUGAAAAGACGGCGAUAAGGGGCAGCAGGCGUCUAAUCACGCAGUUUACGUGUGAUCUUUACCGCGUGAACACCUCAUGAUCAUAUCUGUUAAUGAGAAGAAGUCCAUGUUUUUUAGCACCUGGAGACUCUCUCUCUUCGGUGCCACUAUCAGUUUCCGACGACGACGCGCGGAGGACAGGUCUCGGCACUUGUGCACACACGCGGCCAUCCCCACACACAGACACAAGCACAAAUACAUACACAGAUACACGCAGGGACACAUACAAACACACACAACACACCCAAAAAGACCCAUGCCAGCCAACAUGCCCACAUCUACAGCCAUAUACAAAGAGACAGACAGAAGCACACCAACACAUGUACGCACUCCGACACACGCCUCCUCGGCCGGCCAAUCUGAGAGGCCCCUGAGGGUACGCCCACUUUAAGAACUCGCUCGCUGGCCACUUGACAGCGCGCAUCUCGACGGAGGUUUAAUGAAUAGAGAAUUCCCGGGACCUCUUCUGCCACAGGCUCCGUCGCGCGGGGCGUGCGCCUCGAGAACUCCAAGGGCGAAGUCACUGCAGAUGAAGUCGGACCAAAAGAAGUCCUACGCCCAGAACGAACAUCUUCCCGACCGGGCCCACACUUUCACCCAAGCUGGAUAACGACGGGAUGGGGCAAUAAAGCUCAUUUUACUUGCAACUCUCAA